Molecule: unclassified non-coding RNA, 339 nt
Filed under: soil metagenome
Description: partial contains 5.8S ribosomal RNA, internal transcribed spacer 2, and large subunit ribosomal RNA
Rfam family: 5.8S ribosomal RNA (bases 1-120)
Source: RNAcentral
GAUGAAGAACGCAGCGAAAUGCGAUAACUAAUGUGAAUUGCAGAAUUCAGUGAAUCAUCGAGUCUUUGAACGCACAUUGCGCCCCCUGGUAUUCCGGGGGGCAUGCCUGUCCGAGCGUCAUUGCUGCCCUCAAGCACGGCUUGUGUGUUGGGCUCCGUCCCCCCGGGGACGGGCCCGAAAGGCAGCGGCGGCACCGAGUCCGGUCCUCGAGCGUAUGGGGCUUUGUCACCCGCUCUGUAGGCCCGGCCGGCGCCAGCCGACAACCCAUCAUCCUUAUCAGGUUGACGUCGGAUGAGGUAGGGAUACCCGCUGAACUUAAGCAUAUCAAUAAGCGGAGGA